CGUGGGUAACCUGCCCAAGAGACUGGGAUAACACCUGGAAACAGAUGCUAAUACCGGAUAACAACACUAGACGCAUGUCUAGAGUUUAAAAGAUGGUUCUGCUAUCACUCUUGGAUGGACCUGCGGUGCAUUAGCUAGUUGGUAAGGUAACGGCUUACCAAGGCAAUGAUGCAUAGCCGAGUUGAGAGACUGAUCGGCCACAUUGGGACUGAGACACGGUCCAAACUCCUACGGGAGGCAGCAGGC
RNAcentral lists this ribosomal RNA (246 nucleotides) under uncultured bacterium. RNAcentral's name for it is "partial 16S ribosomal RNA". It matches the Rfam family "Bacterial small subunit ribosomal RNA", at positions 116 to 354 of the family's 1533-position model. The record is from RNAcentral.